RNAcentral lists this ribosomal RNA (659 nucleotides) under uncultured bacterium. Its description in RNAcentral is "bacterial SSU rRNA". The stretch from base 1 to 561 matches the Rfam family "Bacterial small subunit ribosomal RNA", at positions 338 to 873 of the family's 1533-position model. The record is from RNAcentral.
CCUACGGGAGGCAGCAGUGGGGAAUUUUGGACAAUGGGCGCAAGCCUGAUCCAGCCAUUCCGCGUGCAGGACGAAGGCCUUCGGGUUGUAAACUGCUUUUGUACGGAACGAAAAAGCCUUGGCUAAUACCCAGGGUCCAUGACGGUACCGUAAGAAUAAGCACCGGCUAACUACGUGCCAGCAGCCGCGGUAAUACGUAGGGUGCAAGCGUUAAUCGGAAUUACUGGGCGUAAAGCGUGCGCAGGCGGUUAUAUAAGACAGAUGUGAAAUCCCCGGGCUCAACCUGGGAACUGCAUUUGUGACUGUAUAGCUAGAGUGCGGCAGAGGGGGGAUGGAAUUCCGCGUGUAGCAGUGAAAUGCGUAGAUAUGCGGAGGAACACCGAUGGCGAAGGCAAUCCCCUGGGGCCUGCACUGACGCUCAUGCACGAAAGCGUGGGGAGCAAACAGGAUUAGAUACCCUGGUAGUCCCACCGACCCUAACCGACUGUCAACUAGGUUGGUUUGGGUUCGUUCUACUGACUCAGUAACGAAGACGUAACCGCGUGGUAAGUUAGGACCGCCCGUGGGGAGGUACGGCCGGCGAGGUUAGGAACGUACGAAAGGAAAGUUAGUACGGCGUGAGACGUCGCCGAACGGACGACCGACGGAGGGGAGGAGGG